Molecule: ribosomal RNA, 465 nt
Filed under: Vreelandella stevensii
Lineage: Bacteria; Pseudomonadati; Pseudomonadota; Gammaproteobacteria; Oceanospirillales; Halomonadaceae
Description: partial 16S ribosomal RNA
Rfam family: Bacterial small subunit ribosomal RNA
Source: RNAcentral
CCUACGGGAGGCAGCAGUGGGGAAUAUUGGACAAUGGGGGCAACCCUGAUCCAGCCAUGCCGCGUGUGUGAAGAAGGCCCUCGGGUUGUAAAGCACUUUCAGUGAGGAAGAACGCCUGGUGGUUAAUACCCAUCAGGGAAGACAUCACUCACAGAAGAAGCACCGGCUAACUCCGUGCCAGCAGCCGCGGUAAUACGGAGGGUGCGAGCGUUAAUCGGAAUUACUGGGCGUAAAGCGCGCGUAGGUGGCUUGAUAAGCCGGUUGUGAAAGCCCCGGGCUCAACCUGGGAACGGCAUCCGGAACUGUCAAGCUAGAGUGCAGGAGAGGAAGGUAGAAUUCCCGGUGUAGCGGUGAAAUGCGUAGAGAUCGGGAGGAAUACCAGUGGCGAAGGCGGCCUUCUGGACUGACACUGACACUGAGGUGCGAAAGCGUGGGUAGCAAACAGGAUUAGAUACCCCGGUAGUC